AUUGCGAAGAGAAAGCGUGAGGGCUGGGCCUGCGGCGGGCUUUAGGGAGUGGUCCCUGGCUGUGGAUAGAUCUGCUGAUGAGUCCAGGCCCCGGUCCAUUCUCCUCGCGCUGCAAGGAUGCUCCUGGGAUUUCGGAGAGGCCGCAGGAGUCAUUUCAAACAGGGUCUCGCUCUGUCGCCCAGGCUAGAGUGCAGUGGUGCGAUCAUAGCUCACUGCAUCCUCGAACUCCUGGGCUCAAGCGAUCUUCCCACCCCAGCCUCCCGAGGAGCUGAGACUACAGGCGCGCGCCACUACUCCCGGCUAAUUGUUCAAUAUUUUUGUGGAAACAGGGAUCUUGCUAUGUUCCUAUGGUGGUCUUGAGCUCCUUAGCCUCCUAAAGUGUUGGUAUCACAGGCGUGAGCCACUGUGCCCGGCGUUAACAAUCUUCUGCCCCAGGGUCGGCCACAGUUGGACAGGAGCACCCUGCCUCCCCUGUAGCAUUCGUCCCCGUGCCCGGAGUUAACUCCUGGACGACGUACACCUGCUGCACUGCUGGAUAUAGCCAUUCUUCAUUUUUCCCUCCUCCACCCACCAUGUACACCCCAUCAGCAAGUCCCAUCCGAUAUACCCACUACAUACAUCUGCCAGCUGUUCCCAUCUCCACCCACACCCCGGCCUCCAGCAUCUGUCUGGACUGCUGCGGCAGAUCCUCACUGGUUUCUCUGCUUCCACUCUCGCCCUUCCCCUAGGUCCAUUCUCCACGUAGCAGCCAAGGGGAUUCUUAUAUUUAUUUAUUAUUUAAUUUAGUUUUAGAGACAGGGUCUUGUCCUGAUGCCCAGGCUGGAGUACAGUGGCAUGAUCAUAGCUCACUGUGGCUUCAACCUCUUGGGUUCAAGUGAUCCUCCUGCCUCAGGCUCCUGAGUAGCUGGGACUACAGGUGUGCACCACCACACCUAGGUAUUUUUUAUUUAUUUUAUUUUUUGCCUCACACUCUGCCAAGUCUCAAUGCCUGGCUAAUUUUAAAAAUUAUUUUGUAGAGGCCACGUGAGGUGGCUCUCACCUGUAAUCCAGCACUUUGGGAGGCUGAGGCAGGCGGAUCAUUUGAGGUCAGGAGUUCAAGAUUAGCCUGGCCAACAUGGUGAAAACCCAUCUCUACUAAAAAUACAAAAAUUAGCGGGCGUGGUGGUGGGCACCUGUAAUCCCAGCUACACGGGAGGUUGAGGUGGGAUAAUCGCUUAAACCCGAGAGGCAGAGGUUGCAGUGAGCCAAGAUUGUGCCACUGCACUCCAGCCUGGGCGACAAAGCUAGACUCUGCCUCAAAAAAACAUAAUUUUUUUUUUUUGGUAGAGAUGGGGUCUGGGUAUGCUGCCCAGGCUGGUCUUAAACCUUGGCUCAAGCAAUCCUCUCACCUUGGCCUCCAGAGUGUUGGGAUUACAGGUGUGAGCCACUGCAUCUGGCUUGAGUUUUUAUUUAAAGCCCCAAACAUUAAUGAGUCCCUGCUGUGUGCUGAUACCCACAACUGACAGCUUAUGGCCACACGGUCUGUAGGAUAGACAAGCCCAUAAAUAAUUCUGUACACAAUGGUAAAACAAGAACUGCUGUUGAUGUGUGUACCAGAAGGGCAGUGACGUCAGCCUGGAGAGUUGGCCUGGGCCUGGCAGGGAGUAAGGAAAGAAUUCUGGGUGCAGAAGACAGCAAAUACCAAGGCCUAAAAAAGAAUGAAUUAUUUGCUGUUUGGGAAAUGGAAGCCCACGCUGAGUGCUGAAGCACAGGGACUCUGCGCAGGAAGAGGAGGGGAAGCAAGAAAUGAAUUUGGGUCCUUGUGAUGGCAGUGGCUGCUGCCAUCACGCUGUGUGGCUAGGGCUGCACACUUCAUGGAGCCGGUGGAAGCCCCGUCCCUCAUGAGUUGGGACUGGAGCCGCAAACCGCUGCUGCAGACCCAGGCCUUCUGCUCUAUGGAGCAGGCAGGAGCCCCACCCUCUUGGGCAGGGCUACAGCCACCCAAACUGCAGCUGUGGAUCCGAGCCUCUCUGCUCCUGGGGGAGCCGGGAACAGGCAGAAUUUGCCCUUCCAGAUGCAGCUGCAGCCGCGCAGGCAGGAGCCAGGGACAAGUGGGAGCCCUGCCUCUUCCAAGUUGGCGGGGUGGGAGCUCCCAGGUGCAGCUGUGGCUGCCCCCCCAGGCACAGGACGAGGGCAUCUCUGUAGCCUGCACCAUCGGCCAUCCCAGGAAGGACAGCCCCCUUCACCCUCCAUCCCUGCAGGCUCAGGGGUGUCUGCUUCCACUGCCUGGCCUCUCUCCACUCCAGCAACUGCUCUGAUCUUGGAGGGGAGUCGGAGCCAAGACCUGCAGCCAUGAAUGGCAGCAGGAGGAAGGGGGUGGGGUCCCCAGUAAGGCCCCACCCUCAGGCCAGGGAGGGCCUGAAUUCUGGGGGCUGGGCUGCCAGUCCCUCUGACCAGAGUGGAAACUCGUGGAGCCUUUUCUGGGCCUGCCAAUGGCCCAAUCAGCACACACUUCUUCCCCGCUGAGGUCCAUAAAAACCCUGGGCUCAGCCAGAGCAGCGCAGAGAAUAGCCAGAGGAUGAAGAUGGUAGAGACGAGGGGACAGGAUGACCAGCUGCAGAGAGCAGUACCCUCUCUGCUGAUAGCUGGAGACGGUGGGGUGACCAGCUACAGAGAGGAGUACCUUCUCCGCUGAAAGCUACAGAGACCACCUGCCAGCAGAGAGGAGCUACACUCUGCUGCGAGCUUCAGAGACCUGCAGAGACAUUGGAAUGACUUGCCUGCGGAGAGGAGCCACUCUCUCCAGGGCCUCCUCUCUGUUGAGAGCUGAAUGGUUGAGCUCAUGGGACAAUCUGUCUCCAGAGAGGAGCUACCCACUCCUCUGAGCUCUUCUAACACUAAAUAAAACUCCUCUUCACCCUUCA
RNAcentral lists this long non-coding RNA (2903 nucleotides) under Homo sapiens (human). Its description in RNAcentral is "non-protein coding lnc-CEP89-1:1". Lineage: Eukaryota; Metazoa; Chordata; Mammalia; Primates; Hominidae. The record is from RNAcentral.